GACGAACGCUGGCGGCGUGCUUAACACAUGCAAGUCGAACGGAAAGGCCCUGCUUUUGUGGGGUGCUCGAGUGGCGAACGGGUGUGUAACACGUGAGUAACCUGCCCUUGACUUUGGGAUAACUUCAGGAAACUGGGGCUAAUACCGGAUAGGAGCUCCUGCUGCAUGGUGGGGGUUGGAAAGUUUCGGCGGUUGGGGAUGGACUCGCGGCUUAUCAGCUUGUUGGUGGGGUAGUGGCUUACCAAGGCUUUGACGGGUAGCCGGCCUGAGAGGGUGACCGGCCACAUUGGGACUGAGAUACGGCCCAGACUCCUACGGGAGGCAGCAGUGGGGAAUAUUGCACAAUGGGCGGAAGCCUGAUGCAGCAACGCCGCGUGCGGGAUGACGGCCUUCGGGUUGUAAACCGCUUUCGCCUGUGACGAAGCGUGAGUGACGGUAAUGGGUAAAGAAGCACCGGCUAACUACGUGCCAGCAGCCGCGGUGAUACGUAGGGUGCGAGCGUUGUCCGGAUUUAUUGGGCGUAAAGGGCUCGUAGGUGGUUGAUCGCGUCGGAAGUGUAAUCUUGGGGCUUAACCCUGAGCGUGCUUUCGAUACGGGUUGACUUGAGGAAGGUAGGGGAGAAUGGAAUUCCUGGUGGAGCGGUGGAAUGCGCAGAUAUCAGGAGGAACACCAGUGGCGAAGGCGGUUCUCUGGGCCUUUCCUGACGCUGAGGAGCGAAAGCGUGGGGAGCGAACAGGCUUAGAUACCCUGGUAGUCCACGCUGUAAACGGUGGGUACUAGGUGUGGGGUCCAUUCCACGGGUUCCGUGCCGUAGCUAACGCUUUAAGUACCCCGCCUGGGGAGUACGGCCGCAAGGCUAAAACUCAAAGGAAUUGACGGGGCCCCGCACAAGCGGCGGAGCAUGCGGAUUAAUUCGAUGCAACGCGUAGAACCUUACCUGGGUUUGACAUGGAUCGGGAGCGCUCAGAGAUGGGUGUGCCUCUUUUGGGGUCGGUUCACAGGUGGUGCAUGGCUGUCGUCAGCUCGUGUCGUGAGAUGUUGGGUUAAGUCCCGCAACGAGCGCAACCCUUGUUCACUGUUGCCAGCACGUUAUGGUGGGGACUCAGUGGAGACCGCCGGGGUCAACUCGGAGGAAGGUGGGGAUGACGUCAAGUCAUCAUGCCCCUUAUGUCCAGGGCUUCACGCAUGCUACAAUGGCUGGUACAGAGAGUGGCGAGCCUGUGAGGGUGAGCGAAUCUCGGAAAGCCGGUCUCAGUUCGGAUUGGGGUCUGCAACUCGACCUCAUGAAGUCGGAGUCGCUAGUAAUCGCAGAUCAGCAACGCUGCGGUGAAUACGUUCCCGGG
This 1343-nucleotide ribosomal RNA is filed under the name uncultured bacterium. Its description in RNAcentral is "16S ribosomal RNA". It matches the Rfam family "Bacterial small subunit ribosomal RNA", at positions 28 to 1378 of the family's 1533-position model. The record is from RNAcentral.